Molecule: long non-coding RNA, 750 nt
Organism: Lepisosteus oculatus (spotted gar)
Lineage: Eukaryota; Metazoa; Chordata; Actinopteri; Semionotiformes; Lepisosteidae
Source: RefSeq, a predicted model, not a curated record
CCUACAGUUCAUAUAAGGGUUUUCUAAAUGGAUCCAAGACCGCCGUUAUUUGAGCUGUAUACUGUAAUUAUGCAUUCAACGUAAACGUUAUUUAUUUUUACAGUGGUUUAAUCGUACACGUUCUGAAUAGAAAUCUGCAACAGCUGACCUCCGGCACAGAACAAGAUGCUGUUAAUUUAAUAGAAUGGAAUCCUACUCUCUUCUGUCUUGUCCUUGCUUCAACCAAGUAACAAAUUUCUUGGCAGCCUGGUCUUGCAGGGCAAUGUCUAUAGGUUGUGAAGGUGGUGGUGAACCAGUAGGUGGCACCAUCUGGAACAGAAUUCCCAAACCAGUGACCUUGCAUGGUGACCAGAGACACGGAGCUGUGGGAGGUGCCAUCCUUUGCAUGAAGCAUUAAACCAAAACUCUGCCUACUUGGUUGUUAAAUAUUCCAUGACUCUUUUUGACGGAGUAGGGGGUCUUAUCCCUGGGGUUCUGGCUAAAGUCCACAAUGAGCUUUUACAAUCUGUUAUCCCUAAAGUUCCAACAUUAUUCCUAACCAAUUCAAGUAGUGGUUUCACUCUACAUGGACUGCAGUCUAGAAGUGAAUGCACUUUCUAAGAUCUGUGAGGCAGUAGUAUUUACUGCCACACCACUGUGCUGCUCGCUGCUAUUAAUGUGUAAUUAAUAUGACACUGCAUUAAGUUUAAAAUAUUUUUUUUUACUUAUAUUUCAGAUAUAGUUUCAAUACUUUCAGGAACAAAUAAACAC